AUGGGCUGGUCUUUUGGGGACCAACUUGGCGAUGUGAUUGCCGUUUCCCAUAGAAACCACAUGAUCGUAGAGAAGUUUUUGCGUUUAAGGGUGGAAAUCCCACUACAUGAACCUCUUAAGACAUCAGUAGAGUUCACUCCGUUAGGUAGUUCUAAGAGGAUUCAGUAUGAUGUUCGAUAUGAAAAACUUCCACUGUAUUGUGAGUGUUGUGGGAUUGUAGGCCAUACAUCAGAGAGCUAUUGUAGCAUACCAAAAGAAAAAAGAGUAGCUUCUUUUCCAAAGAACCUUAGCGUAGAAGCAUAUUGGAAAGGAAUAGGUUCAAGCAAAAGAGCAAUUCAGUUCGCUGGCUCCAGCAACAAGUACACCUCCAGAGCUACGGAGGGAAGUGUGGUCAAGGUGACCAAAGCCGUGGGUGAACUCACGGUGACGGACAAGAUCGCUACGGCUACCAUGACGACGGGUGUUGCGGCCAUCGGAGGGCCUCCCACUCGGCCAGGAGGGCGGGGUACUUGUGGCUCCCCCGCCAACUGCACCAGGUGCUGGCACCGGUCAGGAGGACCGGUCGGCGCCUCCGACAGCACCUGCCGACUCUGGCCUGGAGGGCCAGGGGACGGGGGCCUGGAGCUGUGCAAAACUCGGCCAGGAGGGUCUUGA
This 654-nucleotide ribosomal RNA is filed under the name Triticum aestivum (bread wheat). Its description in RNAcentral is "partial small subunit ribosomal RNA". The record is from RNAcentral. Lineage: Eukaryota; Viridiplantae; Streptophyta; Magnoliopsida; Poales; Poaceae.